RNAcentral lists this unclassified non-coding RNA (250 nucleotides) under Hevea brasiliensis (rubber tree). Lineage: Eukaryota; Viridiplantae; Streptophyta; Magnoliopsida; Malpighiales; Euphorbiaceae. The record is from RNAcentral.
AGCAUCUUCUCCGCGAGGCUGUCCUCCAGGAGCCUCAUGAUGGCCCUCCUUAGCGGCCUCGCACCAUAGCUCGGGUUGAAGCCUUCGUCGACGAUACGCUCCUUGAACUUCUCGGUGACCUGGAGAUCAAUGUCCUUGGCCUUGAGCCUGUCAAAGACCUCCUUGAGCAUGAUCUCAGCGAUCUCCUUGACCUCCAGCUUGGUGAGUUGCCUGAAGACGAUCAUCUCGUCGAGACGGUUGAGGAACUCGG